ACUCCUACGGGAGGCAGCAGUGGGGGAAUAUUGCACAAUGGGGGAAACCCUGAUGCAGCCAUGCCGCGUGUGUGAAGAAGGCCUUCGGGUUGUAAAGCACUUUCAGUAGGGAGGAAGGUAGUNUAGUUAACACCUGCAUUAUUUGACGUUACCGACAUACAAGAAGACCACCGGGCUAACUCCGUGCCAGCAGCCGCGGUAAUACGGAGGGUGCGAGCGUUAAUCGGAAUUACUGGGCGUAAAGCGCAUGCAGGC
Molecule: ribosomal RNA, 255 nt
Filed under: uncultured bacterium
Lineage: Bacteria
Description: partial 16S ribosomal RNA
Rfam family: Bacterial small subunit ribosomal RNA
Source: RNAcentral